This 6246-nucleotide long non-coding RNA is filed under the name Homo sapiens (human). RNAcentral's name for it is "HSALNT0037368". The record is from RNAcentral. Lineage: Eukaryota; Metazoa; Chordata; Mammalia; Primates; Hominidae.
CGCAGGCGGAUCACGAGGUCAGGAGAUUGGGACCAACCUGGCAAACAGGGUGAAACCCUGUCUCUACUAAAAAUACAAAAUACAAAAAAAAUCAGCCUGGCAUGGUGGCGGGCGCCUGUGGUCCCAGCUACUCUGGAGGCUGACGCAGGAGAAUGCCGUGAACCCGGGAGGCGGAGCUUGCAGAGAGCCGGAGAUCACGCCACUGCACUCCAGCCUGGGCUACAGAGCAAGACUCCGUCUCAAAAAAAACCAAAACAAAACAAAACAAAAAAAACACCCAGUUUUUCCAUGGAGUGAUAGAAUUUAAUUGAUGAGCUUGACGAGCUUAAUUACAGAAGGGAGAGCUCCAAAAUACAUGAGAUUUUCCAUGUCUACUCUGGUGCCAUUACUGGAAGAUCCUUCCAUUUUCUACAAGGGAUUUUUACCUAUAUUGUUGAGAAGUGGAAUCCCCUUUGGUAGCUCUGUACCUUCAGCUUCUCCCUCUGUGGUAUCCAUUCCCUGCCACAACUAUAGAAUCUGCAAUCUGGUAAAAUGAAGGGCAUUCUCCCAAGGCACCGUAAACACUUUGGAAAACAAAAAGAGAAAAAAAAGGAAAUGCAAUUGCCUUCCUUUCAACUCCUUGGCCUGCGAGGAAUGUCUCAGCACGUCAUCACUGUAACACUUUUAUUUUCAGAUUCUGAGUCAGAUUCUGAGAUCAGCACCAAAGCAUACUUGCACAUCAUAAAUAAAGAGCUCCCUGUCUCUUCAGUGCCUCGUAUAUGCCCAGCAAAGUUCCAGAUGCCUUAGACACACAUCUCAAUGGUACAGUAUCUACUUUGCAAAACAGGAAAAGGAAAGGAAGCUUACAGAAGUUCCUCUACAUCUUUAAGGACAGACAGCUAGGAAGCAUUGAUUUACUUAAUUUCAUAAUGUUAAUGCUAAUGAACAUACUUCACUAUGUUUCCAUGUUAUAGCUGAGGAAUCCAUGUCAGGGAAUUCAAGUGGCUUUUUAAAUGCUCCCAUUUGAAGCAAAGGCAGAGUCAACCAAUGCAUUGUGUCCUGCUGCUGCAAGAGGGGCUCUUUGAAGCUUUGCUACUCAGAAAGUGGUCCAGACUGGCAGCGCGGCCAUCACCUGAGACUGUGUCACAAAUGCAAUGUACCGCCCCACUUGCUGAAUCAGACUGUGCAUUUUAACAGCCUCCUCCCCACCGAAUGACUCCUGUCAUUAACGCUUGAGAGGCACUGCAUUAAUGCUUGAGAAGCACUGCAUUCAUCACUCUGCCCCACUCAAAUAGACAACUUGGAAACACAUUGAAUAUUUCAGUGUUUUUAAGGCAGCUGAUGACUGUUUUCAGCAGGAGCCACCUGCAUUUUCCAAAAACCACCUGGGAUUGAUAGAGGGCCCUUCUCUGAAUCCCUGGCCACAGUCCUGCCUGCUUCAAUCCUCAAUCUUGACACCAGUCACCCCACAUAGGGAAUCUGUGGGUCCAAGCAGGAAUGAAUGGCUAAGUUUUCUUUCUAAUUUAACCUACCCACGUGAAACAGCACUAACCUUUAUAUGCUAUUGCUGGUUCCACUGUGGAGAAGCUGAUCAUUCACUCUUCCAGGAGAAGCUCCCAAAAGGCUCUUGAGUUACAAGGGAAUCUGUUGUCUCCUAGAUCCAGAUGAAUGAGCCUGCCUGCCACUUCUUCCUUUGUGCUGAGCACCUGGGAAUUUGCUGAACGGUGUGUUUACUGGAAGGCUUCAUUAUUUUGAUCCCAUUAUCUCUACAUAUGCUUGUUAUCUUCUGGAUAAAACCUGAUUGCAAGCCUGUCUUCUGUGUUUGCUCUUUUUCCUGUCAUUUUCUGAAAUGUAUAUGUAAUAUAAUGUGCAAGUAGGAGUGAGCGUGCCCCUCCGCCCCCGAUUUUGGGGUCAAAAUGAUGGAGAAGCCUUUGUGCUAUGUGUGGGAAUGCUAACGGGUAUCUUCAUAGGGAACCUGCAGCAAAAAGUAGCAUGUGAACGUUGGUCUUGUGCACAGUGGAGAUCAGAUUACAAUAUUUUACAGCUUGGGAGGAUUUUUAGACAUUUGUCAUAACCACUUUUGGUAGUCUUUCCUAAUUAUGGCAAUGGAAACAUAGUGCCAUUUACAAUUCUGUAUGGUAGAGAGCUUUUCUUUUUAUGCUUGGUAACACAGAAAUAACUUGGGGCUGGUCCUUUUAAGAAAUAUCCAAGAUUCAAUUAGGAAACAAUAUUUAGUUGGUGCCCACUAUGCACCAGGCAAUGUAUAUGAUUCUAGAAUUCAGCAACGAACAAGACAGACAAAACACCCUGCCCUGGUCAAGCUUCUAUCAUUGCACCUCCAGGGAACAGGAGAAAAGAUGAUAUUUGCUGUUUUCAAUAGUGGCUGAACUGGAAAAUAAUAUGAAAAGCUUUUCAACUUACAGAAGACUGGGCAUCACUCCACAGCAAUUAAAUCUAUAUCUCUAUGACUGGUACCCAGACAUCAGUAUUAAAAAAAAAAAGCACAAAAAUAAAAAACUCCCUGUAUGUCAAAUGUGUCACCAGGGUUGAGAACCAUCAGGCUAUGUAAUAUGUGGGGAUCCUUAACAGACCUAGAAUUUUAGGAGGAAGAGCAUACUGAGUAGAGUUUGUGAGCAUUGAAAUGAGGGUUUCAUGUUCUCAUGUGGUAAUAUUUUCAUCAUAAAUUAAGAACUUGUAGAGCAAUGGAAAAAAUAAAUCCAGUCUUCAUCACGCUAACUGUUGAGAAAUGGCUUUAGUAUAAUUUUAUGUAGACUCUGAAAUUCCUUAUCACUGGAUUCCAUCUGGCAACUUGGAUUUUGAGAAGUACUUCCUUCAGUGGAAGCUAUGUUUGCCUGGAAAAAAAGAUGUUGUGUUAAUGUAAUUAAGAAUCAGCUUCCAGCUCCAUCUAUGUCCCUGCAAAGGACAUAAUCUCAUUCCUUUUUGUGGCUGCAUAGUAUUCCAUUGUGUAUAUGUGCCAUAUUUUCUUUAUCCAGUCUAUCAUCGAUGGGCAUUUGGGUUAACUCCAUGUCUUUGCUAUUGUGAAUAGUGCUGCAGUGAGCAUACAUGUGCAUGUAUCUUUGUAAUAGAAUGAUUUAUAUUCCUUUGGGUAUAUAUACAGUAAUGGGAUUGCAGGGUCUAAUAGUUCUAGACCCUUGCAGAGUCACCACACCAUCUUCCACCAUGGUUGAACUAAUUUAUAUUCCCACCAACAGUGUAAAAUUGUUCCUAUUUCUCUACAACCUCGCCAGCAUCUGUUGUUUCUUGACUUUUUAAUAAUAACCAUUCUGACUAGCGUGAUAUGGUAUCUCAUUGUGAUUUUGAUUUGUAUUUAUCUAAAGAUCAGUGACUUUGAGCUUUUUUUCAUGUUUGUUGGCCGCCUCAGCAAACUAAUGCAGGAACUGAAAACAAAACACCACUUGUUCUCACUUGUAAAUGGGAGCUGAACAUUGAGAACACACAGACACAGGAAGGGGAACCAUACACACUGGGGCCAGUUGGGAGGUGCGGUGAGGGGAGACGGAGCAUUAGGAAAAAUAGUUAAUGCAUGCUAGGCUGAAUGCCUAGGUGAUGGGUUGAUGGGUACAGCAAAUCACCGUGGCACACACUUACCUAUGUAACAAACCUGCACAUCCUGCAAAUGUACCCCAGAACUUAAAAUAAAAAUAGAAAUCAAAAAAAAGAAAAAGCAUACAAAAACAUACAUUGGGAAAAGGACACUCUAUUUAAUAAACCAACAACCAUGUAAAGACAAACCACGUGUCCCCCAAAAUUAUUGAAAUUUUAAAAAUAAAUUGAAAAAAAAAACAGAAUCAGUGAGCAGAUCCAUGGGCAAAAUGACAGUUUUAACAAUCUGCCACAACUGGACAAUAGAGAGGAAAGAGUAGGGGAAGUUGAAAAGUAAAUUAAAAGAGAAGUAGAGAAAAAGGAAAAGAGAGCUUGAAAAGUAUAACAGAAGGUUGAAGACGGGGGAAAGAUACAACAGAGAGCAGAUGAUGCCUAGCCUCAGUGUGGACCCAGACACUGCAGCCAUGGGCUUCAGUGCCUGAAGGAGCAGGGGGCCCAGGACUCUGCAUCCAGAUCCUUUUUCCCCAUGCAGCUGUGGCUUCUGUCUACUUCCUCCUUCCUGGUGCUCUGGGGAAGACAGGACUUCCUGAGUUCUGGGCUCAUGCCUUUCAAGCAGAGUCAAGCGAGUCAGGCUCAAUCUGUAACCAAAGCCAAAUGGCUUCAUUUUUGGGAAGUGCCAUGAAACCUGAGCAAAGGGGACAGCUAUUUUGAGACUGCUAUGGCUUUAGAGAUAAGGCUAAUUUGUGUCAGUAGAAAGACUCCCGGGAGAGAAGGGAGGAGGAAGGGAGGAACGACACCGUUGAUGCUUUGGGGCAAAUCUCAGAGGAGGCAGAAAAUAAACCCUUAGGAGAACCUUUUGGGACUGUAGAUUUCAAACCCCCAUUGCACUCAAACAUUUAAGUCUCCCACCAAGAGAGACACAAUCUGUACUCAUUGUGUUCAGCUCUGAAUAAAACUAACACAAUUAAGCUCCUGGAUUCCUGCCUGCUCUGGGCACUUACAACCACAGAAUCUCAAAGUGAUCUCAAGAAGUCACUUGCUGCAAGUAUGUGAAUCAGAAAGAGCACCGGUUUGGGGGACACUGUAGAGCAGAAAGCCCCUACAGGGCCAGGACUUAGGGCAGCUGAAUUGUGAAGCGCUUAAAGAUGGAUUCAAGGCCCAAGCUGCCUCUCAGCAUUAUAUUAACAUCUUCAAAUGCUCAUCUAUAGCUCAGAGAUCUAGUCCAGUAUUGUUUCUAUACUAUCAUUUCGAAUCUCUGAGUUAAAUUUUCCACUCAGUAAAACAAGAGUGUCAAACCAAAUGCCCCUUAGAGACUCCUGGUCUCUCAGCAGUUCUUCAGUGUGAGUUAAUAGAAUGGUACUUUACACAUUCCUUUCUUGCAUGAAACCCUUACUAUAAAUACCUAAGUUAUAACAAGACAGGGCUGAGGUUCUGAAGAGACAAGAGGGAGUAUGUGUUUCCUAACUUCCUGCAGGUUCCUAAACAACCAUUUUCCCUCUGAUUUUUAUCUCUACUAACCUUCCUGGCAUCUUCUAUCUUGUCAUUAAUUUGCACCUGCUUUCUAUGUCACACGAGCACUUUUAAAUAAGUGUAUGUCUCCGGGACUCCAUUUCUCCUUUUUCUGUUUCAUGUAAUCUUCUGGCAUCUUCAAAUUUUUUCUUUGCACAAUUUAAUUUUUUAAUAUAACUCUUCACAGUACUAGGUGGGUAAAAGUCCCUCCAAAAAAGUUGCUUUCUUUAAUUUCUCUCCUCUGCAACCCUAUUAUUUAAUUCAAUGAUUAAUUAAACAUGCACUAUGUGCUAGAGACAGGGUUUAAAUUGGUGGACACAUCAGACAUAAUCCCCGUCUUCCCAGGGUUGACAAUCAGAAGAGGAAGAUCUAUAGAACAUUCACAAGUCCUCUAAAGAGAAUGAACAACAUAGAAGAUAAGAAAUGAGUGGCCUGGUGGGCAUGGCCAAGGGAGUCAUUUCUGAGUAUGUGGUCCAUAAGCAGAUACUGAAAGGACCUACAGGAGCCAGCUUUGUAAAGGCAAAUAGCAGCUCAUUGAGUGUAGCUGCAUCAGGCUAAGUGAAAGCUCUGAGACACAAAAGAUAAGUUUCUGCCAAAAAUGUGUUUAGUGACAGGGAAAUUAGAGGAGGAGGGACAUGAAGAAACGUCAGCCUCUCUCCUGGAACUUUGUAUUUACAUCUACACCAAAGCUGGUGGAGUCACAUAUUGACUUACAGCCCUGACCCUCACCCCCUGCCCAGGUUCACAGCCCACGUCUUCAUGUGGGUGCUUCACACACAACUAAAAUCAUCCUACUUAAAUGCAGAUCCACUGUCUUCCCCCAAUGAGCCAAGUCUCCCUCCAGUGUUCUCUUGCCUAGAAAAGAAAACUGUACCAAAAAAACUCGCAAAAAAAAAUUGUGUCUUUAAUAUUAUAACCACAGUAAAUGCUGAGACUCCUUGUGACCCAGUCUAUGCAAAUAAUUGCACAGAAAGAAGCACAGUAGAGGAAUAUGAAAACAAUAAAAUGGCAUUUAUGCUAACCUCCAGCUGAAUCUCUUAGAGAAAAGUGAAAGGAAUUUCAUACUACAACUACCUUCCUUAAAUCAUAUAUCUCUUUCUCAAAUUUAUCCACCCUGGUCUUCCACAGCUCAACCCAUAUCUGUGUAUUUUUUCAAGAUAUUUUUCUUCCUCUAUGAACACCUGCCUCCUUUCU